GCCAGCGUAGCGUAAUGGUUAGGGUGUUAGACUAGGACCCAGGAGGCCAAGGUUCAAAUCCCUGCUCAGCUGUGCA
This is a non-coding RNA of Podarcis lilfordi (Lilford's wall lizard), 76 nucleotides long. The record is from the annotation of a GenBank genome assembly. Lineage: Eukaryota; Metazoa; Chordata; Lepidosauria; Squamata; Lacertidae.